RNAcentral lists this long non-coding RNA (350 nucleotides) under Homo sapiens (human). RNAcentral describes it as "non-protein coding lnc-CDH6-18:2". The record is from RNAcentral. Lineage: Eukaryota; Metazoa; Chordata; Mammalia; Primates; Hominidae.
GUUCAUCUGGAUUCCGUCAGUAAUAGGGUGAGAGGGAGGUCAGGCCUACAGGCCAGAAAAAUCCUAUGUAAAUUUUAGCCAAGCUGAGAGCAAUGUUAAGGCCUCUUGGUCAUACCUUACUAAGGGAUCAUUUUAAUAUAUUGUUUAAAAUACUCAAGGAAUUCUGUGCCAUCUAAGUAGUAGAAGAUUUUUAUUCAUUUAUUCUAGGGAAAACAUUAGCUGAUUGUGCACACUAUGUAUGCGGGAGGAGUAGGUUGCUUGAAUGGAGUCACAACGUCAUGGUAAUCUGCUCCUGGCAGAAACUGCGAUGGAUUUGGUUAGUUUUGACUGAGUUUCUGAAUCAGAGGUAG